CUUGGCUAUUAAACGGAAAUUUUAAAUGGGAAGAAAAUUCUGCACUGGCUGCUAAAUUGUGUGUCAGCAGAAAGGGCGAAAAAGCAACGUGUGUCAUUCCUAUUAUCAUCUUGAAAUCCAUCUUCCCUCUACAUGCCAUGACAGUGGAUAAUCCCUGGUCUUUCACACAGCACGUGACAGGCGGGUGCCCAGCGAUUUAAUGCCUACCAACGCUCUUCAUGGCAGCUGCUGCUUUAAAUGGAAUUCCAGCACAAGUUGUGGCUUCUGCUGCCUGAGCCUCUUUCCCUUUCCCUUCUCUUUCUCCAUGCAGAAAAAAUGGCACCCACUGACAUUCAUCGACAGUUGCUGAACAGUUAUGGAGGCCCAACAGUGGAUGUGAGCACAGUGCUGCUGUGGGUGGUGCAUUUCAGCAGUGACAGUGGAUCACCUCGACUGGUGCAGAUUUAUCCAACGUGGCAUGCAGGCUCUAGUUCACUGCUGGCCAAAAAGCACAGCCAGUGGUGGUGUCUAUGUUGAAAAACAGUGCUUUGUGGCUGAGAAUUUGCUCUGUCUGUUAGUAUUAUUGUGCUCUUUGUAUCUGUUGUAUUUUCUGCGGAAAUAAAUAGGAG
This 608-nucleotide long non-coding RNA is filed under the name Gallus gallus (chicken). RNAcentral's name for it is "lncRNA (ENSGALG00010025171.1)". The record is from RNAcentral. Lineage: Eukaryota; Metazoa; Chordata; Aves; Galliformes; Phasianidae.